RNAcentral lists this ribosomal RNA (490 nucleotides) under uncultured bacterium. RNAcentral describes it as "partial 16S ribosomal RNA". It matches the Rfam family "Bacterial small subunit ribosomal RNA", at positions 30 to 507 of the family's 1533-position model. The record is from RNAcentral.
AUUGAACGCUGGCGGCAGGCCUAACACAUGCAAGUCGAACGGUAACAGGAAACAGCUUGCUGUUUCGCUGACGAGUGGCGGACGGGUGAGUAAUGUCUGGGAAACUGCCUGAUGGAGGGGGAUAACUACUGGAAACGGUAGCUAAUACCGCAUAACGUCGCAAGACCAAAGAGGGGGACCUUCGGGCCUCUUGCCAUCGGAUGUGCCCAGAUGGGAUUAGCUAGUAGGUGGGGUAAAGGCUCACCUAGGCGACGAUCCCUAGCUGGUCUGAGAGGAUGACCAGCCACACUGGAACUGAGACACGGUCCAGACUCCUACGGGAGGCAGCAGUGGGGAAUAUUGCACAAUGGGCGCAAGCCUGAUGCAGCCAUGCCGCGUGUAUGAAGAAGGCCUUCGGGUUGUAAAGUACUUUCAGCGGGGAGGAAGGGAGUAAAGUUAAUACCUUUGCUCAUUGACGUUACCCGCAGAAGAAGCACCGGCUAACUCCGUG